AUUGAACGCUGGCGGCAUGCUUUACACAUGCAAGUCGAACGGCAGCGCGGGCUUCGGCCUGGCGGCGAGUGGCGAACGGGUGAGUAAUGCAUCGGAACGUGCCCAGUAGUGGGGGAUAGCCCGGCGAAAGCCGGACUAAUACCGCAUACGACCUGAGGGUGAAAGCGGGGGACCGAAAGGCCUCGCGCUAUUGGAUCGGCCGAUGUCGGAUUAGCUAGUUGGUGGGGUAAAGGCUUACCAAGGCGACGAUCCGUAGCUGGUCUGAGAGGACGACCAGCCACACUGGGACUGAGACACGGCCCAGACUCCUACGGGAGGCAGCAGUGGGGAAUUUUGGACAAUGGGGGCAAGCCUGAUCCAGCCAUGCCGCGUGCGGGAAGAAGGCCUUCGGGUUGUAAACCGCUUUUGUUCGGGAAGAAAUCCUCUGGGCUAAUACCCCGGGGGGAUGACGGUACCGGAAGAAUAAGCACCGGCUAACUACGUG
RNAcentral lists this ribosomal RNA (484 nucleotides) under uncultured bacterium. RNAcentral's name for it is "partial 16S ribosomal RNA". It matches the Rfam family "Bacterial small subunit ribosomal RNA", at positions 28 to 507 of the family's 1533-position model. The record is from RNAcentral.